AGAAGCUGGAUUUUUUUGGAUCUUAGAAGCUGGCUUGACAUUGAAGUCUGUCAAAGAGAAUUUGCAUCUGCUUUUCACAGCAUCCUAGAGGUGCUACCAGUUUGGUACCACUUUGAAUAUAUUUAUCUAUUUGUGAUUUUUGGUGGCUGCAGAGGUUCUGUGAAUUUGGACUAAAAACUCUUGUAAUAUCUUAGUUAUAUAUUUUCAGAGGAAUUUUUUUUCUGUUUUUUUUUUUUUUUUGCCAGCACCAAGUCUAGAUAGAGACAGGAUCUAGCUAUGUUGCCCAGGCUGGAGGGCAAUGGUGUGAUCAUGACUAAUUGCAGCAUGAAACUCCUGGGCUCAAGUCAUCCUAUUGCCUCUGCUUCCUUAGUGACUGGGACUACAGGGGCCUCAACCAUGAACCUAGCAAUAGGCAGAGGAGACCUGAGUAAUUCUAUGAAGCGUGAACUCAUCCACACAUCUUCCCGAAGACGGAUAAAUCACGGUGCCCCAGCAGCUCCUCUUCACCUCCCAGAUAACACCUGCUGCCAGCCCUGCAAUUCUUUGGAGCCCCCUGAGUUGACUGUUGUGUCCUCAGCUUCCAUACCACAACUUAACACUAUUGAAAGAGAUGGAUAA
RNAcentral lists this long non-coding RNA (618 nucleotides) under Callithrix jacchus (white-tufted-ear marmoset). RNAcentral's name for it is "lncRNA (ENSCJAG00000080046.1)". Lineage: Eukaryota; Metazoa; Chordata; Mammalia; Primates; Cebidae. The record is from RNAcentral.